This 495-nucleotide ribosomal RNA is filed under the name uncultured bacterium. Its description in RNAcentral is "bacterial SSU rRNA". It matches the Rfam family "Bacterial small subunit ribosomal RNA", at positions 1 to 507 of the family's 1533-position model. The record is from RNAcentral.
CCUUGAUAUUCACGAAUCGAAUCAAAGUUUCUGCUUCACGCUAUAUCAAGUGCCAACACAUACAGGAACUGAGUACUGAAUGUUGAAUGCCGGAUAGCGGCGGACGGGUGAGUAACGCGUGGGCAACCUGCCUCAUACUAGGGGAUAACACAGGGAAACUUGUGCUAAUACCGCAUAAUAUCAUUAUAGGGCAUCCUGUGAUGAUCAAAGGAGCAAUCCGGUGUGAGAUGGGCCCGCGUCCAAUUAGCUAGUUGGUGGGGUAACGGCCCACCAAGGCGACGAUUGGUAGCCGAACUGAGAGGUUGAUCGGCCACAUUGGGACUGAGACACGGCCCAGACUCCUACGGGAGGCAGCAGUGGGGAAUAUUGCGCAAUGGGGGAAACCCUGACGCAGCAACGCCGCGUGAAGGAUGAAGGUCUUCGGAUUGUAAACUUCUUUGAUGAGGGACGAACACAAUGACGGUACCUCAAAAACAAGCCACGGCUAACUACGUG